UGUUUAAGAGAUUAAUGGGAGACCGACCAUCUCUAAAGCAAAUGGCAAAGAAUUUGAUGGUUGGUAUCUGAGAUCCAAGUUCGAAUCCUAGUUGAUUACAUUUCUAACUAAGUUUAUUUCUAAAUGAAAUAAACGAAGCGGGUAGCGUGCUACUUAUCUCUUAAAAAAAAAAAGAUUAAUGGGAGGAUUAUGAAUUGAAAAUUUGCUGGAAAGCUCCUCUAAAGUCUCCUGUGAACUCUCAUUUAUUCUCACCUCUCUCUCUCUCUCUCUCUCUCUAUAUAUAUAUAUAGAGUUCGGCUACUAUGCUAUUAAUAGCACAAAGCAUUUGGUACUACCAAGUUUUUCGCCGUUAGAUCUAUCAUUUUGAUCACUUUCACCCAUUAGAUCAUACUAUUCAACCAACCACCCACUCAACUCUAGAGGGUCCACAUCAUCCUGAUCACACAUCUCUUAAUCCAACGGCCAAAAAUUUGGUGGCACUAAUAACUUGGUGCUAUUAAUAGCAUAGUAGCCUAGUUCUCUCUCUCUCUCUAUAUAUAUAUACUUUAAUUUGAACAUAAGACGCGGGAAUGGGCCCUACAUGUUUGUGUGCUCUUGAUAGCUGCAAGUUAGAAUUAGCUUGCUCCCAAUUCCACUCCCAUGGACAAACAGCUAAGUACAGUUACGCAUGGGUGAUUUUUUAAGAUAAAAACACCAAGGUACCUAUUUUACCUGAUUACACUAAUAGUAGAUUUUUUCUGAUAUCAGUUUGUUACAAUUAAAGCAGAAAGAUUUAGUUCGUCGAGUGUGAAAAUAUUAAAGAAAAAGGAUAAGAAGGAGAAGAAAAAUAAAACAUACAAAUAUUUACAUAUUUCGACUACUGGCCUACGUCCAUGGAUGAAUAAGUGAAAACUUUUAUUAUAAUCAAAGUGGUGCACAAAAUAUGCUUUUUUUACAAAACCCUACACACAUAUUUCUCCUCAUGCACUAAAUUAAUAGAACAAAGAUAUAUUUAUAGCAAUAGCUAAAUCUUAAUAUAAUUAGAAAUACAAAUCUACUAACAUUAGGAAUAAUCUCAAUUAGAUAAUACAUAAUUUAAACUUAACUUUAUAAAUAAUUAAA
This 1101-nucleotide long non-coding RNA is filed under the name Ananas comosus (pineapple). Its description in RNAcentral is "long non-coding RNA (ACOM_LNC010902)". Lineage: Eukaryota; Viridiplantae; Streptophyta; Magnoliopsida; Poales; Bromeliaceae. The record is from RNAcentral.